AAAACUUAUUGAUCUCUAUCCUUCUUACUUACCCAAUUUCCAGAUUGAUUAUCUUCCCGGCUUAGUAUUAGAUAUAAAUAUACC
This 84-nucleotide transfer RNA is filed under the name Nogra grahamii. RNAcentral describes it as "tRNA-Tyr". The record is from RNAcentral. Lineage: Eukaryota; Viridiplantae; Streptophyta; Magnoliopsida; Fabales; Fabaceae.